RNAcentral lists this ribosomal RNA (254 nucleotides) under uncultured bacterium. RNAcentral describes it as "partial 16S ribosomal RNA". It matches the Rfam family "Bacterial small subunit ribosomal RNA", at positions 524 to 777 of the family's 1533-position model. The record is from RNAcentral.
GACAGAGGCCCCAAGCGUUAGGCGGAAUCACUGGGCUUAAAGCGUGUGUAGGCGGACUUGUAAGUACCUUGUGAAAUCCCACGGCUCAACCGUGGAACUGCUGGGUAUACUGCGAGUCUUGAGCCACCUAGGGGCGAGCGGAACAAGUGGUGGAGCGGUGAAAUGCGUAGAUAUCACUUGGAACGCCAAUGGUGAAAACAGCUCGCUGGGGGUGUGCUGACGCUGAGACACGAAAGCCAGGGGAGCAAACGGGG